AAGUCGUAACAAGGUUUCCGUAGGUGAACCUGCGGAAGGAUCAUUAUUGAAUUCACAAGCAUCGUUGCUGCUGGCUCUCCGGAGCAUGUGCACACUUUGCAUAUAUUCAACCACCUGUGAACCUCUUGUAGAUCUAGGAACAAAACUCAAGGAAACUUGGAUUAGAGGGUUGCCGGUCUCUCAUGAGAUCGACUUCCCUUGAAGUUCCUCGGUCUAUGCUUUAUAUACCCCAUAAAACGUUACAGAAUGUCAUUAACGGCUUUAAAAAGCCUUAAACUUAUACAACUUUCAACAACGGAUCUCUUGGCUCUC
Molecule: unclassified non-coding RNA, 312 nt
Filed under: air metagenome
Description: partial contains small subunit ribosomal RNA, internal transcribed spacer 1, and 5.8S ribosomal RNA
Rfam family: Eukaryotic small subunit ribosomal RNA (bases 1-46)
Source: RNAcentral